AUUGAACGCUGGCGGCAGGCCUAACACAUGCAAGUCGAGCGAGCGGCGGACGGGUGAGUAAUGUCUGGGAAACUGCCUGAUGGAGGGGGAUAACUCCUGGAAACGGUAGCUAAUACCGCAUACCAUCAGAUGUGCCCAGAUGGGAUUGACGAGUAGGCGGGGUAACGGCUCACCUAGGCGACGAUCCCUAGCUGGUCUGAGAGGAUGACCAGCCACACGGGAACUGGGACACGGUACAGACUCCUACGGGCAGCAGCAGUGGGGAAUAUUGCACAAUGGGCGCAAGCCUGAUGCAGCCAUGCCGCGUGUGUGAAGAAGGCCUUCGGGUUGUAAAGCACUUUCAGCGGGGAGGCGUUACCCGAAGAAGAAGCACCGGCUAACUCCGUGCCAGCCGCCGCGGUAAUUC
Molecule: ribosomal RNA, 406 nt
Filed under: uncultured bacterium
Lineage: Bacteria
Description: partial 16S ribosomal RNA
Rfam family: Bacterial small subunit ribosomal RNA
Source: RNAcentral